GAGGUGACAGCUUCGACAACACUCUCAGCGUCUUCUUCUUCUUCUUUUGCUUCUCUUUCUUCUUCUUCCUCACCGGUACAGAUCGCUGACACCUUGGCAAGCGGUGUUAUGCCUGGAAUUGAGUAAGAGGCUUGGUAAACACCUGGGUCAUAUGCCAAAACUAAUAUUGACACGGGACCGAGGGCGGUGUCGAAAAACAAGGCCGGAUUUGUGGGGACGUGCUGGGCCGUGUGCGCCGGCGGUGUAAGCGAGACUGCAGAGUUGCUCACCUGAGCGGGCCGAACCCAUAACGAGGAAAAACGAGACUCACCUGAGCGCUUAUAGCAUGACCAAGGAGACGAGGCUCACAGCAGAACCAGGUGACCCUUGGUGCAGGAGGUGAAAGGCCUGUGGGAGAGGCUGAGGGGACAUUUCUUAGCCUUCUGAAAAACACAUUGACGCGCGGGGCCGUCAACGACGUGCACAGACCACAGCCAUCGGCGAAAAAUGUAUAAAGCCCCACCAGAGCAGCGGACUGGUUAUCUGAGACUACACUCUGGUGAAACCAUAGCCACCGGCUCCCAUGGUCCGUCAUUCACCCAGGCAGAAAACGGCUGGAUGACUGCGAGGUUGCUAAGCUACG
Megalops cyprinoides (Indo-Pacific tarpon) is the source of this 622-nucleotide long non-coding RNA. RefSeq lists it as uncharacterized. The record is from RefSeq and is a predicted model, not a curated record. The transcript is spliced from 3 exons. Lineage: Eukaryota; Metazoa; Chordata; Actinopteri; Elopiformes; Megalopidae.